RNAcentral lists this ribosomal RNA (422 nucleotides) under uncultured bacterium. RNAcentral's name for it is "partial 16S ribosomal RNA". It matches the Rfam family "Bacterial small subunit ribosomal RNA", at positions 359 to 774 of the family's 1533-position model. The record is from RNAcentral.
GAAUCUUCCGAAAUGGACGAAAGUCUGACGGAGAAACGCCGCGCGAGUGAUGAAGGUUUUCGGUGCGUAAAGCCCUGUUGCCAGGGAAGAACGCUUGGGAGAGUAACUGCUCUCAAGGUGACGGUACCUGAGGAGAAAGCCCCGGCUACCUACGUGCCAGCAGCCGCGGUGAUACGUAGGGGGCAACAGUUGUCAGGAAUUAUUGGGCGGAAAGCGCGCGCAGGCGGUUCAUUAAGUCUGGUGUUUAAGGCUAGGGCUCAACCCUGGUUCGCACUGGAAACUGUUGAACUUGAGUGCAGAAGAGGAAAGUGGAAUUCCACGUGGAGCGGUGAAAUGCGUAGAGAUGUGGGGGAACACCAGUGGCGAAGGCGACUUUCUGGGCUGUAACUGACGCUGAGGCGCGAAAGCGUGGGGAGCAAACA